GACGCCGGCGUGGGGGACGAAGGCCUUCGGGUGUAAACCCCUGUCAGAGGGAAAGAAGGGUGUCGGCGCGAUAACCGCCGGCAUCUGACGGUACCUUCAGAGGAAGCCCCGGCCAACUCUGUGCCAGCAGCCGCGGUAAGACAGAGGGGGCAAGCGUUGCUCGGAAUCACUGGGCGUAAAGGGCGCGUAGGCGGGAUGGCAAGUCAGUCGUGAAAUCUCUCGGCUCAACCGAGAAACGUCGGCUGAUACUGCCGUUCUUGAGGGAUGCAGAGGAGACUGGAAUUCCCGGUGUAGCGGUGAAAUGUGUAGAGAUCGGGAGGAACACCGGUGGCGAAGGCGGGUCUCUGGGCAUUUCCUGACGCUGAGGCGCGAAAGCGUGGGGAGCAAACGGGAUUAGAUACCCCGGUAGUCCACGCUGUAAACGAUGACGACUAGGUGUGGGGUGGGUUAGUCCAUUCCGUGCCGCAGCUAACGCAUUAAGUCGUCCGCCUGGGGAGUACGGCCGCAAGGUUG
RNAcentral lists this ribosomal RNA (513 nucleotides) under uncultured bacterium. Its description in RNAcentral is "bacterial SSU rRNA". It matches the Rfam family "Bacterial small subunit ribosomal RNA", at positions 393 to 896 of the family's 1533-position model. The record is from RNAcentral.